This 875-nucleotide ribosomal RNA is filed under the name uncultured bacterium. RNAcentral's name for it is "bacterial SSU rRNA". It matches the Rfam family "Bacterial small subunit ribosomal RNA", at positions 30 to 884 of the family's 1533-position model. The record is from RNAcentral.
CGAACGCUGGCGGCGUGCCUAACACAUGCAAGUCGAACGUGAAAGUCCUUCGGGAUGAGUAAAGUGGCGCACGGGUGAGUAACGCGUAGAUAAUCUACCCGAUGAUCUGGGAUAACAUUCCGAAAGGGGUGCUAAUACCGGAUAAGCCCACGGAAUCUUAGGAUUCUGCGGGAAAAGGGGGGGACCUUCGGGCCUUCUGUCAUCGGAUGAGUCUGCGUACCAUUAGCUAGUUGGUGGGGUAAGAGCCCACCAAGGCGACGAUGGUUAGCUGGUCUGAGAGGAUGAUCAGCCACACUGGAACUGAGACACGGUCCAGACUCCUACGGGAGGCAGCAGUGGGGAAUUUUGCGCAAUGGGGGAAACCCUGACGCAGCAACGCCGCGUGAGUGAUGAAGGCCUUCGGGUCGUAAAGCUCUGUCAGAGGGAAAGAAAUGUAUUAUGGCUAAUAUCCAUGAUACUUGACGGUACCCUCAAAGGAAGCACCGGCUAACUCCGUGCCAGCAGCCGCGGUAAUACGGAGGGUGCGAGCGUUGUUCGGAAUUAUUGGGCGUAAAGCGCGUGUAGGCGGUCUUUUAAGUCUGAUGUGAAAGCCCCGGGCUCAACCUGGGAAGUGCAUUGGAUACUGGGAGACUUGAAUACGGGAGAGGGCAGUGGAAUUCCUAGUGUAGGAGUGAAAUCCGUAGAUAUUAGGAGGAACACCGGUGGCGAAGGCGGCUGCCUGGACCGAUAUUGACGCUGAGACGCGAAAGCGUGGGGAGCAAACAGGAUUAGAUACCCUGGUAGUCCACGCCGUAAACGAUGAGUACUAGGUGUUGCGGGUACUGACCCCUGCAGUGCCGCAGCUAACGCAUUAAGUACUCCGCCUGGGAAGUACG